RNAcentral lists this ribosomal RNA (253 nucleotides) under uncultured bacterium. Its description in RNAcentral is "partial 16S ribosomal RNA". It matches the Rfam family "Bacterial small subunit ribosomal RNA", at positions 524 to 776 of the family's 1533-position model. The record is from RNAcentral.
UACGUAGGGUGCGAGCGUUAAUCGGAAUUACUGGGCGUAAAGCGCACGUAGGCGGAUUUGUAAGUCAGGGGUGAAAUCCCAGGGCUCAACCCUGGAACUGCCUUUGAUACUGUCGAUCUGGAGUAUGGAAGAGGUGAGUGGAAUUCCGAGUGUAGAGGUGAAAUUCGUAGAUAUUCGGAGGAACACCAGUGGCGAAGGCGGCUCACUGGUCCAUUACUGACGCUGAGGUGCGAAAGCGUGGGGAGCAAACAGG